This is a long non-coding RNA of Lycium barbarum (goji berry), 652 nucleotides long. RefSeq lists it as uncharacterized. The transcript has 2 exons. Lineage: Eukaryota; Viridiplantae; Streptophyta; Magnoliopsida; Solanales; Solanaceae. The record is from RefSeq and is a predicted model, not a curated record.
AUGUUAGGUUAGAUCAUGUGUUAGGCUCUGUUUUCAUGUGUAAACGAAUCUGUUUAUAGAAAUCCUACAGCCAAGAAUUAUGUUAGUGUUACAUCUUUUUAUAGUUUCGUAUUGGGUGGUUUUCUUUGGUAGCAUGCUAUCCUGGUUAGAUCACGUUCAUACACGCUGAAAAAUUUCGGUUUCAACUGAGGUCGUUGCUAUGUGUCUCGUUAUGUUUAUAUCGAAAUAUUAAAUAGGCUAAGUCAAGUUGUAAGAAGAUUAAAAUGUACUAUGUUCAGUUUUCUUGAUAAUAGGAGUUAAUAUAUCACUAUGUGCCUAAGUCAUGUAUUAGAGAAGCUAUUUGUUAUUCACGUAGUAGCAUUGUGCGUCUAUAUCUGUUCACAUUUUUUUUUUGACAUUUCACUUUGCCCAUUUUCCAUGAGAUAUAUGCCAUAUUGUAGUUGUGUUGAUUACCUGUUGGUAUCAUAGCUAGAUUCCUUUACUGCAAAUUGCUUUUCAUCUUCACUUUUGUUAUUUUCAUAGUUCCACAUUGAUUGCUGUAUUAUUCUUCAGAGCAUAUUCUUUUCCUUUUUGUGGUCAUAUUCUUUUGUAAUUCAGAUAUAGUCUGUUUUUCUCAUGAACUAGUAAUUUAUUGCAUUGCUUUUAGUCUCUA